Molecule: transfer RNA, 73 nt
Organism: Sphaerobolus stellatus SS14
Lineage: Eukaryota; Fungi; Basidiomycota; Agaricomycetes; Geastrales; Sphaerobolaceae
Rfam family: tRNA
About the family: Transfer RNA (tRNA) molecules are approximately 80 nucleotides in length.
Source: Rfam
GGUUCGGUAGUUCAGUUGGUGGAACGUCUACUUAACACGCAGAAGGUCGUCGAUUUAAGUCCGACCCGGACUA